RNAcentral lists this ribosomal RNA (200 nucleotides) under uncultured bacterium. RNAcentral's name for it is "partial 16S ribosomal RNA". It matches the Rfam family "Bacterial small subunit ribosomal RNA", at positions 30 to 234 of the family's 1533-position model. The record is from RNAcentral.
AUUGAACGCUGGCGGCAGGCCUAACACAUGCAAGUCGAGCGCGAAAGUUCUUCGGAAUGAGUAAAGCGGCGGACGGGUGAGUAAUACAUGGGAAUCUGCCUGGUAGUGGGGGACAACGUUUCGAAAGGAACGCUAAUACCGCAUACGCCCUACGGGGAAAGGGGGGAGUCGCAAGACCUCGCGCAAUUGGAGCGGCCGAU